Molecule: long non-coding RNA, 259 nt
Filed under: Hordeum vulgare
Lineage: Eukaryota; Viridiplantae; Streptophyta; Magnoliopsida; Poales; Poaceae
Description: long non-coding RNA (HVUL_LNC003638)
Source: RNAcentral
GCGCCUGACGAACGCGAACAGCUUCAUCGGUUUCUUCUAGUGCUGGCGCUAUGAACGUGAGCUAUUUCUUGCACCAGCUGCCACCAGGGAGGCUUUGUCAUGUCUCAUGAGGCUCCGGCCGAUGAUGCUUAUUAUAUCCUUGUAGGUUUGCACCACUUGCUAAUUGCUAAUAGAAAAGACCAAACUGACCUUGUUCCUUGCGAUUUAUUCAUACGUUGUCAACUUUCGUCUGAGAAGAAAUAUAUAAAAGUAACAAACU